UGGGCUUGACAUGCAGGGUGAAAUCGGUGAAAGCCGACGCUCUUCGGAGCCUGCACAGGUGGUGCAUGGCUGUCGUCAGCUCGUGCCGUGAGGUGUUGCCUUAAGUGGCGCAACGAGCGCAACCCCUGUCCUUAGUUGCCAGCGAGUCAUGUCGGGAACUCUAGGGAGACUGCCGGUGCCAAACCGGAGGAAGGUGGGGAUGACGUCAAGUCAUCAUGCCCCUUAUGUCCAGGGCUGCACGCAUGCUACAAUGCGCGAUACAGAGGGCUGCGAUCCCGUAAGGGGGAGCGAAUCCCAAAAAGUCGCGCUCAGUUCGGAUCGAGGUCUGCAACUCGACCUCGUGAAGUCGGAGUCGCUAGUAAUCGCAGAUCAGCAAUGCUGCGGUGAAUACGUUCCCGGGCC
Molecule: ribosomal RNA, 402 nt
Filed under: uncultured bacterium
Lineage: Bacteria
Description: bacterial SSU rRNA
Rfam family: Bacterial small subunit ribosomal RNA
Source: RNAcentral